RNAcentral lists this ribosomal RNA (254 nucleotides) under uncultured prokaryote. RNAcentral describes it as "partial 16S ribosomal RNA". It matches the Rfam family "Bacterial small subunit ribosomal RNA", at positions 524 to 777 of the family's 1533-position model. The record is from RNAcentral.
UACGUAGGGGGCAAGCGUUGUCCGGAUUUAUUGGGCGUAAAGCGCUCGCAGGUGGUUCGUCGCGUCGUGCGUGAAAGACCCUGGCUCAACUGGGGGAUGUCGUGCGAUACGGGCGAACUGGAGGCCAGUAGGGGGAUGCGGAAUUCCGGGUGUAGUGGUGGAAUGCGUAGAGAUCCGGAGGAACACCAGCGGCGAAGGCGGCAUCCUGGACUGGUCCUGACACUCAGGAGCGAAAGCGUGGGGAGCGAUCCGGA